AGAGUUUGAUCCUGGCUCAGAACGAACGCUGGCGGCAUGCCUAACACAUGCAAGUCGAACGAGACCUUCGGGUCUAGUGGCGCACGGGUGCGUAACGCGUGGGAACCUGCCUUUAGGUUCGGAAUAACUCAGAGAAAUUUGAGCUAAUACCGGAUAAUGUCUUCGGACCAAAGAUUUAUCGCCUUUAGAUGGGCCCGCGUUGGAUUAGCUAGUUGGUGGGGUAAAGGCCUACCAAGGCGACGAUCCAUAGCUGGUCUGAGAGGAUGAUCAGCCACACUGGGACUGAGGCACGGCCCAGACUCCUACGGGAGGCAGCAGUGGGGAAUAUUGGACAAUGGGCGAAAGCCUGAUCCAGCAAUGCCGCGUGAGUGAUGAAGGCCUUAGGGUUGUAAAGCUCUUUUACCCGAGAUGAUAAUGACAGUAUCGGGAGAAUAAGCUCCGGCUAACUCCGUGCCAGCAGCCGCGGUAAUACGGAGGGAGCUAGCGUUGUUCGGAAUUACUGGGCGUAAAGCGCACGUAGGCGGCUUUUUAAGUCAGGGGUGAAAUCCCGGGGCUCAACCCCGGAACUGCCCUUGAAACUGGGAAGCUAGAAUCUUGGAGAGGCGAGUGGAAUUCCGAGUGUAGCGGUGAAAUGCGUAGA
Molecule: ribosomal RNA, 640 nt
Filed under: uncultured bacterium
Lineage: Bacteria
Description: bacterial SSU rRNA
Rfam family: Bacterial small subunit ribosomal RNA
Source: RNAcentral